UUGCCCUAGUAACGGCGAGUGAAGCGGCAACAGCUCAAAUUUGAAAUCUGGCUCUUUUAGAGUCCGAGUUGUAAUUUGCAGAGGGCGCUUUGGCUUUGGCAGCGGUCCAAGUUCCUUGGAACAGGACGUCACAGAGGGUGAGAAUCCCGUACGUGGUCGCUAGCUAUUGCCGUGUAAAGCCCCUUCGACGAGUCGAGUUGUUUGGGAAUGCAGCUCUAAAUGGGAGGUAAAUUUCUUCUAAAGCUAAAUAUUGGCCAGAGACCGAUAGCGCACAAGUAGAGUGAUCGAAAGAUGAAAAGCACUUUGGAAAGAGAGUCAAACAGCACGUGAAAUUGUUGAAAGGGAAGCGCUUGCAGCCAGACUUGCUUGCAGUUGCUCAUCCGGGCUUUUGCCCGGUGCACUCUUCUGCAGGCAGGCCAGCAUCAGUUUGGGCGGUGGGAUAAAGGUCUCUGUCACGUUCCUUCCUUCGGGUUGGCCAUAUAGGGGAGACGUCAUACCACCAGCCUGGACUGAGGUCCGCGCAUCUGCUAGGAUGCUGGCG
Molecule: ribosomal RNA, 541 nt
Filed under: Curvularia lunata
Lineage: Eukaryota; Fungi; Ascomycota; Dothideomycetes; Pleosporales; Pleosporaceae
Also listed under: 2 other names
Description: eukaryotic LSU rRNA
Rfam family: Eukaryotic large subunit ribosomal RNA
Source: RNAcentral